This 429-nucleotide ribosomal RNA is filed under the name Chloroflexota bacterium. RNAcentral's name for it is "Chloroflexi bacterium partial 16S ribosomal RNA". It matches the Rfam family "Bacterial small subunit ribosomal RNA", at positions 355 to 776 of the family's 1533-position model. The record is from RNAcentral. Lineage: Bacteria; Bacillati; Chloroflexota.
UGGGGAAUAUUGCACAAUGGGCGCAAGCCUGAUGCAGCCAUGCCGCGUGUAUGAAGAAGGCCUUCGGGUUGUAAAGUACUUUCAGCGGGGAGGAAGGGAGUAAAGUUAAUACCUUUGCUCAUUGACGUUACCCGCAGAAGAAGCACCGGCUAACUCCGUGCCAGCAGCCGCGGUAAUACGGAGGGUGCAAGCGUUAAUCGGAAUUACUGGGCGUAAAGCGCACGCAGGCGGUUUGUUAAGUCAGAUGUGAAAUCCCCGGGCUCAACCUGGGAACUGCAGCUGCUACUGGCAAGCUUGAGUAUCGUAGAGGGGGGUAGAAUUCCAGGUGUAGCGGUGAAAUGCGUAGAGAUCUGGAGGAAUACCGGUGGCGAAGGCGGCCCCCUGGACGAAGACUGACGCUCAGGUGCGAAAGCGUGGGGAACAAACAGG